UACGGGGGGUGCAAGCGUUGUUCGGAUUUACUGGGCGUAAAGGGCGCGUAGGCGGCGUGACAAGUCACUUGUGAAAUCUCCGGGCUUAACUCGGAGCGGUCAAGUGAUACUGUCGUGCUAGAGUGCGGAAGGGGCUACUGGAAUUCUCGGUGUAGCGGUGAAAUGCGUAGAUAUCGAGAGGAACACCUGCGGCGAAGGCGGGUAGCUGGGCCGACACUGACGCUGAUGCGCGAAAGCCAGGGGAGCGAACGGG
Molecule: ribosomal RNA, 253 nt
Filed under: uncultured bacterium
Lineage: Bacteria
Description: partial 16S ribosomal RNA
Rfam family: Bacterial small subunit ribosomal RNA
Source: RNAcentral